AUUGAACGCUGGCGGCAUGCCUUACACAUGCAAGUCGAACGGCAGCACGGGAGCAAUCCUGGUGGCGAGUGGCGAACGGGUGAGUAAUAUAUCGGAACGUGCCCAGUCGUGGGGGAUAACGUAGCGAAAGCUACGCUAAUACCGCAUACGAUCUAUGGAUGAAAGCGGGGGAUCGCAAGACCUCGCGCGAUUGGAGCGGCCGAUAUCAGAUUAGGUAGUCGGUGAGGUAAAGGCUCACCAAGCCGACGAUCUGUAGCUGGUCUGAGAGGACGACCAGCCACACUGGGACUGAGACACGGCCCAGACUCCUACGGGAGGCAGCAGUGGGGAAUUUUGGACAAUGGGCGCAAGCCUGAUCCAGCAAUGCCGCGUGCAGGAUGAAGGCCUCGGUUGUAACU
Molecule: ribosomal RNA, 398 nt
Filed under: uncultured bacterium
Lineage: Bacteria
Description: bacterial SSU rRNA
Rfam family: Bacterial small subunit ribosomal RNA
Source: RNAcentral